This 141-nucleotide unclassified non-coding RNA is filed under the name soil metagenome. RNAcentral describes it as "partial internal transcribed spacer 1". The record is from RNAcentral.
CCGAGUUUCCAUUACUCAAACCCUUGCAAACAUACCUUAAUAUGCUUCGGUGCCUGGCCCCGGGGGGCACUAAAACAGUCACCGACAGUAUUCAAAAUCUCUGUCAUUGUAUUCUGAUUACAAAAAAAAACAAAACAAUCA